GUAGCAUAUACAAUACAAAUCAAGAAAAAGAGAAGAGAAGACCACAAACAUUAAAAACACAAUUUUGACAAAUUAUCUCUAUUGUAAAAUUGAGGGAGUAACUCAUUAUUCGAGAGAACUGGCCAUUGACAAUUCAGUUACAAUUAUCAAAGAGAACUGUAAAUUGCUAACUUAAUUACAUCAUUCUUCACAUAAGCUUCUCACUGAGGAAAUUUCUUGACUGGAAGGUCACAUUUCAAGCCAUUGCACUUAUAAAACCCAGCCCUGUUGUCAUUUAAAUUGCAAAUUAAUCAUCAAUAAUGCACAAUAAUUUAUGACCCACAAACGAUUUGGAGCCUAAGGAGGAUAAAAUAUCAAUACAAAUAAAUACACACGUAGUAAGAUGCAUUGCAAUAGUCGUAUUACUUGAAUUUGUCAGCUGACCCGCAAAAUCAGAUCAAUCAUGCAUAGUACACAAAAGAGACGAAGCUUUAACCAUAAUUGGUGCUUAACCUUCUUGCUCCUGCUAAUGAUUUUGGCCAUGAAGGCAUGAGAGUAAGGGGAGGAAGAACGGGAUGGCGCCUGC
This 565-nucleotide long non-coding RNA is filed under the name Triticum aestivum (bread wheat). RNAcentral's name for it is "long non-coding RNA (TAES_LNC003516)". The record is from RNAcentral. Lineage: Eukaryota; Viridiplantae; Streptophyta; Magnoliopsida; Poales; Poaceae.